Podarcis lilfordi (Lilford's wall lizard) is the source of this 75-nucleotide non-coding RNA. NCBI's taxonomy places the organism in Eukaryota, Metazoa, Chordata, Lepidosauria, Squamata, Lacertidae. The record is from the annotation of a GenBank genome assembly.
UGCUGCGUAGUUUAGUUGGUUAGAGCGUGGUACUGAUAAUGCCAAGGUUGCAGGUUCGAUCCCCAUAUGUGACAG